Molecule: long non-coding RNA, 814 nt
Organism: Clupea harengus (Atlantic herring)
Lineage: Eukaryota; Metazoa; Chordata; Actinopteri; Clupeiformes; Clupeidae
Exons: 3
Source: RefSeq, a predicted model, not a curated record
UUAUUGUUUUGAUGCUAUAUAAAUAAUAUUGAAUUGAAAUGUUUGUCUCAUUUUGUUUAAAUCAGCUUAAGUUGUCUGGAGGCAUCACUGUACCAGUCUGCCUAUGACUUGUCUCUGAUUCUCCUACUACUGUAAUUACACGUGAAAUCCAUUGUGGUUUGUGUUUUUGUUUGUUUGUUUGUUUGUUUGUAUUUUAUUAUUUUACCUGUUGUAACAUCUGGCUGGGGACUACAGAUGAAAAUGAGCUGACUGGCAUCUGAGCUGUUCUGGCUAACUGGCAUAUUUACUGUUAUGUUAACUAAUGUGCCCGGCCCCUGUUAACUUAUUAGUUCAUAUGUACACACAUAAAGGAGGAGAUGCUGUUAACUUAUUCAUUUUAAUCUAUAAUGUCGUCUCUGGGCAGAGGGACACAAAGGUGGAAGUGAUGGCUGAAUACCUGUAUUGUAGCGAGAUAAUUAUUAAUUUUUAAAGUCUAAAGGUUAGUUACACCCCCUCCAUGCAGUUCCGCUCUGCUUUCAUGUUACGUGCUCUCUUAUUGUCUCAAAACCUUUUGCACUGGAAAGAAUCAUCUGGUUUGGCUUUGGUAUGGUAUGGCCUUUAGGCAUUAGGGAACUGGGAGAUUACAACACCCUCCGAUCCAGGAAAGGACAUUUCUUUGUCGUCUCUGAGAUUGUAGAUGCUGUAUCCCAGCGGACUGAACAAACAUGAUGCAGAGGAAGCUGGUGCUGCUGGUUGGCAUCGGUGCCUUGACCAUCCUCCUGAUGUUGAGAUUGUAUAUGCUGUAUCCCAGCGGACUGAACAAACAUGAUAGAGA